Molecule: ribosomal RNA, 500 nt
Filed under: uncultured bacterium
Lineage: Bacteria
Description: bacterial SSU rRNA
Rfam family: Bacterial small subunit ribosomal RNA
Source: RNAcentral
AGGCCUAACACAUGCAAGUCGCACGAGAAACGGAGCAAUCCGCGGUACAGUGGCGCACGGGUGAGUAACACGUGGAUGACCUUCCCUGGAGUGGUGGAUAACCUGCCGAAAGGCGGGCUAAUACAGCAUAGGACCACGACGCUUUGGCGAUGUGGUGAAAGCGGGCCUCUAUAUAUAAGCUCGCGCUCCGGGACGGGUCCGCGUCCCAUCAGCUAGUUGGUGAGGUAACGGCUCACCAAGGCAACGACGGGUAGCUGGUCUGAGAGGAUGGCCAGCCACACUGGAACUGAGACACGGUCCAGACUCCUACGGGAGGCAGCAGUGGGGAAUCUUGCGCAAUGGGCGAAAGCCUGACGCAGCGACGCCGCGUGGGCGAAGAAGGCCUUCGGGUUGUAAAGCCCUGUGGGGGAGAACGAACCGUACGGGGGCGAAUACCCUCCGUGCCUGACGGUACUCCUUUAGCAAGCAUCGGCUAACUCUGUGCCAGCAGCCGCGGUAAU